GGGCCCAAGAAGUCUCGCGAUACCAGGAAAUCCCGAAGCAGCUCGCGUUAGGGGCUGGCGGAGCGGAGCGGGGAAGUAGUUGGCCGUGACGCUAGGCUAGAGCCUUUAGCCGUCACCGUUGUCACGGAAACGCCAGGUAGUCACAAUAAUUGACAUGAGGUGAGAGGGUGAAAUGUAGGCCCCAGCCAUCUAGGCCCUCUGCUGGCACUGGAUGAAAUCUCUCAAGGAUGAUAUUGACUCAGUUUGGUGACAAGGAGAAAGGCUGAGGAACGAGACACUCAUACUCAUGCGUUCCUCUUUUCUCCCUUCCCCGUAUUGUUCAUCUUCAGCCAGGAACUUCCAGUCUGAGAGCAGCAUGGGAAGGUGAUAGGGAUGCUGAAAGAUAAAGGAAACCUGCCUCUCACUUCCUCAAGUUGCUAAAGAAUCAAGAGUACAAUGAAAAGGGAACAUCAUUUUAUUGACAGAACUAAGUUUUAUACUGAGAAAUAGAAGAAUUACAUAAUAGUCUUUUUUCAGUUUCUUUAAGACUUGGUCUAUGACCCUAAAAUUUAAAAUACAAAAUAGUGAGAGUCAUCCAGCUCAGCAUCUCCCAGUCGCUCUGUGCAUGUCAAACUGGUAACAACACAGCCCUCUCAAUCUGAUUACCAGCUCUGGUAAAAGGUCUAAGUAAGAGGGACGUUUUAUUUAAAAUGCUAAAUAAAGUCCAGAGUCAGGAUUAAGGGGAGUGAAGGAGGUACCCACUCUCCAUAAAGCUUAAUGCUUAUGAUAUCUCUCCCAGUCCUUGUGUAAGAAAAUCUGAGAGAACUAACAUAAGAAAACCUUCCAGAGCUAUAACUGCUCUGGCCUCUGAAAGUGGUAACAGAUUCAGAAGCAGUGGGCAAAGAUAUAGAAGCAAAAGAUGGAGUACGUUGAAGAGUAAUAAUAACACAUCUUUCUCACUGUUCAGUCACCUGUUGGGCUGCUUGCUGACAUAUGGUAUUGUUUUUGAAAACCAUACCACAGAGAGCAGAGCAGAUCAUGGUUCAUAACCAUGUGGUUAGUCACUUCUUUAUAUUUCCAAGAGUUCCCAAUAUUGUUUGUUGUAUAGGUUCAGCACUUAUUUUAAGUGGAUUCUUUUAUGACUGCUUUGUUUCUUUACUUUCCUUUGAGGGGAAUCUUUCAUGAUUAGGAAUCAGGGGGGGAUUGAAGACUAUUCUUUGCUGCAUGGUUGGAUUUGUUCUACCCCAAGUGGUGAUGUCAAAUUGGAAAAUAAUUAGUAUUUAAGGACCAUCAAAGUCAACAGUUACAUCACCAAACUAUGUAUUCUUUAAAACCAAUUCUCUGCUGAACCAUCAGUAGAUUAAUUAGAAUAUAGACUUACGUUAAAGCUUCUGAGUAAUUAUAAUGCGGAGAGACGCCUAGAAACUUCUGUACUUCAUCCAUUACUGUAGCAGGAUCAGUUCUUAGCUGUUGCCCAUCAAUAAUUAGCAACUAAAUUAUCAAAGAAAAUUUAAAAAAAGAUAAAGUACACUAUAAAAAAGCCAUAUAACUAUAAAAUUAAAAAAUCUGCAUUCUAAAUUUAUUCAAUAUGAGUUAUGGUAUUGAGGGGAUUCCCAUCCCCUGUUGUUAGAUUUAACGAGAUCGUCCUCAUGAAUGACCUAGGAUGAAAAAUAAAGCACAAUCCUUCAUUUUGCUAAUGUUUUGUAAUCUGAGAAAUCCUGUAAACUCUACAACAAACAAACAAACGAACAAACACUUAAGGGCACCAAAGAGAGCUUACAGGUCUUACAGGUGACUACAAAAUCACCUAUGGAAACCAAACUUAAAAACCAACAAAACGGUAAUUCUAGCUUGGAAGGAGCCCUUGAAAGAGGAGAGAUGAUAAGAACACCAGGUGUGACAGGACUGAGGACAUGCCGCUCUCCACGAUCCCAUUUAAAGGAGAAACAACAAAGUUUUAAGAAAGACUUUGGUAAUCCAUUUGGAGAAAAAGGUGAGAAUCACAGAGAACCUGAACAUGGACAGAAGUUCCUCCGCAGCAGGAAGAACUUGCUUGUUACUUUGGUGAGCGAGCGGGAGGGCCAUAGAGCCUGCAAGGCAACUCUUGCUCACCCCUUUUCUCCAACAUUUCCAUUUGGUCUGGGCCAGCAUUUGACAUGUGGCCAAUGUAACUGAGAUUUUAUAUAAUUUUAAUAGUGAUAUGUGGUACCAGCUAUCCUAUUGGACAGCAAGGAUCUAGACACACAGGUAGACACCACGCCCGAUGGGGCUGAUUUUUAUAAUUUAUGUUGAUGCCGGGCAAAUGAGAGAAGCAGGAAGCCAAGAAAAACUUUGUAGUUAUGAAAAAUUCUGGAAGGUGGUUGGAAGGGAAAUAAUGGCACUUAAUUAAGAGCAACAACAUUUGCCUACUUUGGUUAAGAGGGAUUCAAGUUUACUCUCAGGAGAAGAAUGAGGGUUAUGAAGCUCUUACAGUCAGGAAAGAUAUGCACUAGAAAAUGGGCAAAGAGAAUUAUCCUGAAAUACUUUUAGAAAGAAAACUGGGUUUUCUACCAUGGCUUAUUUAUUAGUCUUUUCAGCAGUCUCAUUUACAACUACAGAGUAAAAGCUAGUAAUGUUUUAAUGAGUAAAAAUUUCAUUUAUCCUAGAGGCAAAAUCAUCAACUUAAUGAGAUUGUAACACAGUGUAAAUUAUUAUUGCUCACUACCUGAAAGGGGGGGAAAUAAACAAGCCAUCUCUCAAUGUGGCUGGCAUACCACCCAGGCACCAAGCAUCUUUUCUGCAAGGCUCUGAGCUCAGAGGGGGCCCGGGGCCCAGCAGAGAUCACUUCAUAGAAGCUAAACUUCAGAGCUGCGGGGUCUUCAUGUGAUCGCUGAUGCUAGGAGGAAAAGGUAGAUGAUUAAACUAACUUGAUCCAUAGGCAUAAAUAAUUAAACACCAAUUUCUGUGACAAGUUUCAAAGCUAAAGGAAGCAGGGCCAGAGACUUAUUUACUUUGCAAUUAAUAAAGGAUGAAAACAUUUGCUUGGAGCAUGAGGAUUUAAAGUUAUGUCACCAAGGAGAGUACAUUUUUGAGAGCUUGUUUGGUAGAGGCUAUAUAUUCUUAUUGUUAGGAUCCCUUAACCAAUUCCACCAAGUUGUUUCCUUAGUGUAUAUAUUUUAUUCUGAAAAGUAAACUUUUGAAAGUUGCAUUAAGGCCCCCUUUUCAGCCCAUAAGCAAACCAUUUAUCAUGUCUAGAGAAUCUCCAUUAUGCACAUGCUCUCUACUAGUUCUGCCACACAGUUUUGCUUCAUCUAGUAAUGCAGGUUUAGAUUAGAAAAGCCCCAUUGGCUAUUUUAAGUGGAGAAACUACUGAAAACUCUGACAUGUACAUUAUCUGAAAUCCGCAGCUUUUGUCAUAUACUACCUAGCCUCUAAAAGCCAAGAUUAUUUUACCUAAUGGUAACCUCUGCGAUGAAUCAGAAUCACUUAUUAUAUGGAAAAGGCAGAAAGCAGCAAUCCAAAUAGUAAAGUGUUUCAUAAUAACCCCAGUUCAAGCCCAUGGGUUUGAGGGAAUUAGCUUUUCCCUGAAUUGACCAAUAUAUAUUCAGGCUUAGUGGUGGGCUUGUGGAUGUUUACCACAUCCAGUGAAAUAGCAAAUUUGCUGCAAUUGAGAUUCAAAUCACUGUACAACAAACUCUGCUAGACUUUGUUAAGGCCUGCAUUUUGCCCCUGCGGAGUGAUUUAUUUGUAAUAUGGAGGAUGUUUUGUUUAGCCUGCAGACUUGAAACCUCCUUUUUCAGUAAAUUCUCAAUUUUUCUGGGGCUAAGUGGCUGCCAAGCUCCAAUUUUCUUCUUUCUUUUUGAGUCAAUUAAGGCUUAUCUCUAUUUUCUCCAGGUAUCUGGCAGAAAAGGUAAAAGGCACAAAAUCAAAUCAGUCAAUUUGCAGUUUGCUGUAUAUUUGGAUUUGAAAGAUGACUCUAGAAGUUUGGCAUGGAUGAUUAGAGUGGAAGUGUAGACUUCAGCUCUGCGGGGUAUCUCACUCCCUGUCAUGCAGAUCAUUAUGGAUAUGACUAUCUAAGAUUCCAUCUGCUCCAGGUGACCUUUCCCCACUCCUUUCCAACCUCCAAACCGAUCUUGGACAAUCUGUUCUUCUUUUGUGAACUGGGAAAAAUGGAUUUUCUCAAAUAAAAAAAGGACUCUGUGCUGAGAAACUUUAUGCUCUGAUAUUACAGAGGGCCGGGAAUUUAGCUGUAGGAAAUCCUAUUAGUGGAGUGGAAGAGUCCACUCUUUCCUGCAGGAGCUGGGCUCUGAGGGUCCCUUUCACACAAAGAAGCACCUUAUUUCCCACCCAGGUGCAGUUUCAGAUAACAGGCUAUGGGAUACAGCAUUCCACAUUUAUCUUAACUUCAUCCUUUCCAAGGAAAUAAUUGGGUUUUGAACCUGACCUGCUGAUAACUCCUUUUUGCAACUAUCGCAACACUCCAUUUUAAUUUUACCUAAAUUUCUCUCCUUAUAAAUCCUUCCCUUCAGGGAAAUGGUUCCUGUAGGGUUUGGGAUCCUCUGUUGCAGCGGAUUAAUUUACCUAACUUGUCCCUGGUGGUUUUAUCAAGAGGCUUGUUCACUCUACAACUCUGCCAUUUUCUACUUUGUAAUUUACAUGCUGGUUAUUUACAUGUAUCUCUCCAAUUAGACAGCAGUCUAGCAUGUGGCAUCCGCCUUUAUUAACUUAUUUUCAAAUUACCCUUAGAAACAAUACUUGGCACAUGGUAGUCAUUACAACUAUUUGUUGAAUGGAAGAACACAUUAACAUGAGGAAGUGGUUUUUAAAUUACAAAAUGAAGGGGUGAUAACUAAGGGUUCUGGGAGACUAAAGACACUGACUUAAUUUUGCUAUGUUUUCAUAUUUAAUUUUGACAACUAUUUAUUGAACUUUUCUACUUGGUGAUGAAAAUUUCACUGGGGCAGGGUUUUUUUUUUUCUAUUAUGUUUAAUCAUUUAUUAAAGCAAAAAUGUAUUCGCUAUGUAAAUAUUAUUAUUAGAGUGUUGAAUUAUUAUUAGAGUCUAUUCUUAACUAUAUCAGAAAUGUGAUGGCAAUCAGUGUAUUAGGAAGAGCUUGGACCAGGAUUUAGCCUGGCUGGGCUAUUAAGGAUGAAGAAUUAUUAUAUUUUAGCUUUACUAAGUUGUUUCUUCACUUAAGGCAGUUAUUUAAACUCUUUAGGGUCAAAUUUGGCUUGCUGCUUGUUUUUUUUAAAUAAAGUUUUAUUGGAACACAGCUGUGCUCAUUCAAUUAGAUAUUGGUUAAAGUUGCUUUGCUGCUAAAAUGACAGGCUUGCAACACAGACCAACCGUGUGGCCCACAAAGCCUGAAAUAUUUACUUGCUAGUACUUUACACAAAAAAGCAGUGACUUCUUGAGGGAAUCAGCCACUCUCCUCAUCCAUAAAUAAUAAUAGCACCAUGUAUUUGAUGUAUUUGAUGUGGAUGUAUUAGAUGAAAAAUAAUGAUUUUAGAUAACAUUGUAAUG
Talpa occidentalis (Iberian mole) is the source of this 5480-nucleotide RNA transcript. RefSeq lists it as uncharacterized. The record is from RefSeq and is a predicted model, not a curated record. NCBI's taxonomy places the organism in Eukaryota, Metazoa, Chordata, Mammalia, Eulipotyphla, Talpidae. The transcript is spliced from 4 exons.